GAUGAAGAACGUAGCGAAAUGCGAUAAGUAAUGUGAAUUGCAGAAUUCAGUGAAUCAUCGAAUCUUUGAACGCACAUUGCGCCCGCCAGUAUUCUGGCGGGCAUGCCUGUUCGAGCGUCAUUACAACCCUCAGGCCCCCGGGCCUGGCGUUGGGGAUCGGCGGAGCCCCCCGUGGGCACACGCCGUCCCCCAAAUGCAGUGGCGGUCCCGCCGCAGCUUCCAUCGCGUAGUAGCUAACACCUCGCGACUGGAGAGCGGCGCGGCCACGCCGUAAAACACCCAACUCUUCUGAAGUUGACCUCGAAUCAGGUGGGAAUACCCGCUGAACUUAAGCAUAUCAAUAAGCGGAGGA
Molecule: unclassified non-coding RNA, 352 nt
Filed under: soil metagenome
Description: partial contains 5.8S ribosomal RNA, internal transcribed spacer 2, and large subunit ribosomal RNA
Rfam family: 5.8S ribosomal RNA (bases 1-120)
Source: RNAcentral